CGGCGCUAUCGGUUGGGGCGAGCCGAGAGUAAAUAGACGCCGGAGCCCAAGAUGGCGGAGCCGCCCAGUCCGGGUCGUGGCGCGGCGCCCCCCGAGCAGGAGCUGCUUGGCGCCAGGACGGCCCCGGAUGCGAAAGGUUCCCGCGGAUCCCAGCCGGCCGCCAAGAAGGUGAAGGGAGCCGAGGAGCGGAGCUUGAAGGGCGCUAAGCGCGUCAACGGUGAAGGGGGCGGCGGUGGCGGGAGCGCCAAGCAGCCGCUGCCCGCGGUCGUGCCCAGCUACAGCGGCCCCGGGCCAUGGGGCUUCGCCGCGCUGCCCUCGGGCCCCUCGGCGGGCGCGGGGGGCUUUGCGUUCCCUUCCCCGCUGUCCCGGAAGCUGCUGCCGCCCGCGGUGCUGCUGCCGCCGUCCGCCUCCCCCUCCUCGUCCCACCCGCAGCACCAGCACCGCCACCACCGGCACCGCCUGGCGCUGGCGGCCGAGGCGGGAGGCGGCGGCAGCGGCGGCAGCGCCAAGCCCAAGAGACCCAAGGAGAAGCGGGACAAGGAGAGGAGGAAGCACGGGGCGCUGCCCGUUGUGGCGGCGGCGGGAGAUGGCGGCGGGGCCCUGAGCCGGGAGGAGAACGGGGAGGUGAAGCUGCUGUUCCCCAAAGAGAAGGCUGAGAAAGUGAAGGAUGCACUGACUCUUCUGCUGAGAGCUGCCAGCCUUUCAAAAGUGAUUCAGUAUUUGACUGUAGAUUAAAGAACAGGUUUGUGCUGUUAAUCCUGUGAAUAAUUUACUGUGCAGAGAGGAAAGGGAAAAAUGCAGUUAUGAUACAGGGAGAAAAGAAUGGCUGGGGGGCAGGCACGUAGAAUCCUGAGUACAGAGGAAAGCUAAGAAUGACAUUGAGGUGGGUGGGUGGAAUAGUCAGGACUUGUGCAUUGGGAGUGCUGAAGCUACAGACUGGAAAAAGAUACCAGAGGGACUGUGGUUGCAGCGUGUAAUGAGUGAACGUGGAAUGAAUUCGAAAUACUGAUAGGAGAAGAAAAUAGCAGGCUGGAGCAGUGUGGAGGUGAUUCUGGUUUUGGUUUGGGGUGAAAGAUUAUACUUAGGUGCUGUAGAAAAGGCCAGGAAGGUAGGAUAGAAGGAGAAAUGAAAAUUUUAGGCAGCCUACAGAGUGGAAUUGAACAGCAUGGGUAAAUUUAGAUGAUUUUGGGUAAUUAUGGAAAACUGAAAGGCUUGCACAUAGACCAUAUAUGAGGGGCAGGGGAUAAAAUAGGAAUAGGAAUAAAAUAUUCUCCUUCAGGUGUAGUGAGCUGAGU
RNAcentral lists this long non-coding RNA (1295 nucleotides) under Junco hyemalis (dark-eyed junco). RNAcentral's name for it is "lncRNA (ENSJHYG00000009768.1)". Lineage: Eukaryota; Metazoa; Chordata; Aves; Passeriformes; Passerellidae. The record is from RNAcentral.